RNAcentral lists this ribosomal RNA (967 nucleotides) under Microbacterium hydrocarbonoxydans. RNAcentral describes it as "bacterial SSU rRNA". It matches the Rfam family "Bacterial small subunit ribosomal RNA", at positions 1 to 976 of the family's 1533-position model. The record is from RNAcentral. Lineage: Bacteria; Bacillati; Actinomycetota; Actinomycetes; Micrococcales; Microbacteriaceae.
CUUAAGAGUUUGAUCCUGGCUCAGGAUGAACGCUGGCGGCGUGCUUAACACAUGCAAGUCGAACGGUGAACACGGAGCUUGCUCUGUGGGAUCAGUGGCGAACGGGUGAGUAACACGUGAGCAACCUGCCCCUGACUCUGGGAUAAGCGCUGGAAACGGCGUCUAAUACUGGAUACGAACCACGAAGGCAUCUUCAGUGGUUGGAAAGAUUUAUUGGUUGGGGAUGGGCUCGCGGCCUAUCAGCUUGUUGGUGAGGUAAUGGCUCACCAAGGCGUCGACGGGUAGCCGGCCUGAGAGGGUGACCGGCCACACUGGGACUGAGACACGGCCCAGACUCCUACGGGAGGCAGCAGUGGGGAAUAUUGCACAAUGGGCGCAAGCCUGAUGCAGCAACGCCGCGUGAGGGAUGACGGCCUUCGGGUUGUAAACCUCUUUUAGCAGGGAAGAAGCGAAAGUGACGGUACCUGCAGAAAAAGCGCCGGCUAACUACGUGCCAGCAGCCGCGGUAAUACGUAGGGCGCAAGCGUUAUCCGGAAUUAUUGGGCGUAAAGAGCUCGUAGGCGGUUUGUCGCGUCUGCUGUGAAAUCCGGAGGCUCAACCUCCGGCCUGCAGUGGGUACGGGCAGACUAGAGUGCGGUAGGGGAGAUUGGAAUUCCUGGUGUAGCGGUGGAAUGCGCAGAUAUCAGGAGGAACACCGAUGGCGAAGGCAGAUCUCUGGGCCGUAACUGACGCUGAGGAGCGAAAGGGUGGGGAGCAAACAGGCUUAGAUACCCUGGUAGUCCACCCCGUAAACGUUGGGAACUAGUUGUGGGGUCCAUUCCACGGAUUCCGUGACGCAGCUAACGCAUUAAGUUCCCCGCCUGGGGAGUACGGCCGCAAGGCUAAAACUCAAAGGAAUUGACGGGGACCCGCACAAGCGGCGGAGCAUGCGGGAUUAAUUUCGAUGCAACGCGAAGAACCCUUACCA